This is a long non-coding RNA of Podarcis raffonei (Aeolian wall lizard), 944 nucleotides long. RefSeq lists it as uncharacterized. The transcript has 3 exons. NCBI's taxonomy places the organism in Eukaryota, Metazoa, Chordata, Lepidosauria, Squamata, Lacertidae. The record is from RefSeq and is a predicted model, not a curated record.
UGUGACCUAAAAGAAAUGAGUGACGCUUUUUUAUGACUACAUGGAAACCAGAUCUUGAGUUGAUGGCGAACAGGUCACUGACGCGUUAUUCUUGCAUGCUUAUUUAGAGAUAAGUACGUUGAGCUCAGUCGGGCUUACUUCUUGCAAGCAUGCUUAGGAUUGCAUAAGAUCAGUGUGCUGAGACAGUAAAACUGUAAAUCUGGUUAAAGCAAUCACUAGGAAACGGAAAAUGUGAAGCAUCUCAUACAUCUCUCCAGCCACAUUUAGAACACCAUGUACAGUUCAGAUCUCUCCCGUCUGAAAAGGGGUAUCAUAGAGCUUGGAAUACUAACGAAAAAGCCAGCUGUAAAAUGGAAGAGAGCAUAUUGGAAAAACCAAAAGCCUCCACCCAGGAUUUCUUCAGGAGAAGAAAAGCCUGAGGAGUAAACCCUACACAAAUUCGGAGUGAAAUCCCUAAGAUGUUUGGGUGGCGCCUUGUACACCUCCUUCCAGCAACUCCUGCAGCCCAGCUGGUGCCAGAUGUAUCGCUCUGCUUUCCUUUAGACCACAUCCACACAACCACUGAGAAGGGGAUCUUGUCAUCUGAGUAGCCCAAGACCUCCAUAUACACUGCCCAGGCUUGCACCAUGGGGAGGCAUCAUCACUUUUGCUCUGCAUAUAAGGAAGUAGCUGAUUACCAGAACAUUUACGAAUAGUAUGUUAACAAAAGAGGCCAUUCAGGACCAGAGGCAGGCUAAUGAAGUAUAUAUGGCUACAUAUUUAAGGUAUUUAGAUCCACAACUUCAAAAGACAAAUUUGAAGAGUUCCGUUUAUUUUCUGUAUUUUGGUGUGCUGCAUCAAAACUGCAUCUUUGCUCACAAGAGGAAAACCCAAACAAACCCAAUCUUCUGAAACAUGCAUUGAAUGAAACGUGUCCCGCUGGUGAUACUAUUUUAAAUGCAAAC